Molecule: long non-coding RNA, 626 nt
Organism: Notolabrus celidotus (New Zealand spotty)
Lineage: Eukaryota; Metazoa; Chordata; Actinopteri; Labriformes; Labridae
Exons: 3
Source: RefSeq, a predicted model, not a curated record
UUGAUACACCAAGGGGUUAUGUUAAAAAAAUGUCUGCGUACUGGCCCGCUCAAAGCACUGCCUCAAAGUGAUUGCUUGCAUUCACUGAUUAACUGAUUCACCAACUGAUGAUAUAUACUUGGUCCCAACAUUCAGAACUCCCUGUACAAUAUCUACCACUGGUGCACUCAGAGAUAUGACAGUUGCGAGUAAUCAACUCUGACCGAAUAAUAAAGCCUUUCAAAUCUCAUUCACUGAUGUGUGCUCCCGUCUUACCUCCUGCCUCCAAACUUCCUCUGUGCUUGAUUUAGGCUCUCCAUAGGCAACUGAACUUGUCUGACUAAGCCGUUCAGUUGUGAUUACAUACAGCGCCCCUGCCCAAGUGAGUGUCCAGUGCCCUGGGGGUGGAGACCGAGCCCGUCGCUUCUGCCUCGGUAAUGAAACAACAUCACAUUCCGGGCCAGUGCAUCAGAAAACACAAGAGGGAUCAAUGCCUAACAGCUGGACUCCAAUGAGCUGCUGUGCUCGUACAGGCUGCCUCGAUAAACGCAGCAGUCGUGAAAAUCAUGCUCUGUUUGGGUGAAGUUCACCUGUGACGUGUUAUGGUUCAACUCAGUUUGAUUGUUAAUAGAUGGAGUUAAAACACA